GAUGAAGAACGCAGUGAAACGCGAUAAGUAAUGUGAAUUGCAGAAUUCAGUGAAUCAUCGAGUUUUUGAACGCAUAUUGCGCCCUCUGGUAUUCCGGGGGGCAUGCCUGUUCGAGCGUCAUUAAAUAACCCUCAAGCAUAGCUUGGUGUUGGGCUUUUUUACGUCCUUGACUGGGAUGGGCCUAAAAAUUAGUGGCGAUGGCUUUUUUACUUUCAAGCGUAGUAAAUCUCGUCUUGCUAAAGAGGAAAAAGAUUUUUUUUCUGCCAAAAAUUUUAACAUUUAAAGUUGACCUCGGAUCAGGUAGGAUUACCCGCUGAACUUAAGCAUAUCAAUAAGCGGAGGA
Molecule: unclassified non-coding RNA, 343 nt
Filed under: soil metagenome
Description: partial contains 5.8S ribosomal RNA, internal transcribed spacer 2, and large subunit ribosomal RNA
Rfam family: 5.8S ribosomal RNA (bases 1-120)
Source: RNAcentral